RNAcentral lists this signal recognition particle RNA (266 nucleotides) under Fidelibacterota bacterium. RNAcentral describes it as "Candidatus Marinimicrobia bacterium signal recognition particle sRNA large type". It matches the Rfam family "Bacterial large signal recognition particle RNA". Rfam says of the family: The signal recognition particle (SRP) is a universally conserved ribonucleoprotein involved in the co-translational targeting of proteins to membranes. Archaeal SRP consists of a 7S RNA and homologues of the eukaryotic SRP19 and SRP54 proteins. In most bacteria, the SRP consists of a 4.5S RNA and the Ffh protein (a homologue of the eukaryotic SRP54 protein). The record is from RNAcentral. Lineage: Bacteria; Pseudomonadati; Fidelibacterota.
CUAUGCUACAUGGGGAGCCAGCGGUGCCCUGUAACCUGCAAACCGCUAUAGCAGGAUGGAUGCCAGGCAGCGGGUCGUGCUUCAGUUAUCCUGAUGUGAUAUGUGGUGUUGACACUUUCCAUUUUGCGCAAUAAAAGGUUGGUAAACCCCGUCAGGCCCGGAAGGGAGCAGCGGUAGCCGAUUCAUUUAUGUGCCGCAAAAUCACCGAAAGCGAGCUGUCAAUCAUUAUCAGGUGACAAAAAGCUGAUUCAAUGCCUGGUGCAUAG